This 500-nucleotide ribosomal RNA is filed under the name uncultured bacterium. RNAcentral's name for it is "partial 16S ribosomal RNA". It matches the Rfam family "Bacterial small subunit ribosomal RNA", at positions 899 to 1397 of the family's 1533-position model. The record is from RNAcentral.
ACUCAAAGGAAUUGACGGGGGCCCGCACAAGCGGUGGAGCAUGUGGUUUAAUUCGUCACUAACCGAAGAACCUUACCCAGACUUGACAUUGAGGGAAAGACGGUGAAAGCCGUACCUCGACGCAAGUCGACCCGAAAACAGGUGUUGCAUGGCUGUCGUCAGCUCGUGUCGUGAGAUGUUGGGUUAAGUCCCGCAACGAGCGCAACCCUCACCGUAUGUUGCCAGCGUAAAGUCGGGAACUCUUACGGAACUGCCUAUGCAAGUAGGAGGAAGGUGGGGAUGACGUCAAGUCGGCAUGGCCCUUACGUCUGGGGCUACACACAUGCUACAAUGGACGCGAACAAAGGGAAGCCAAACCGCGAGGUGGAGCCGAUCUCAAAAAUCCGUCCUCAGUUCGGAUUGCAGGCUGCAACUCGCCUGCAUGAAGCUGGAAUCGCUAGUAACCGCAGGUCAGCUAAACUGCGGUGAAUACGUUCCCGGGCCUUGUACACACCGCCCGU